GACGAACGCUGGCGGCGUGCUUAACACAUGCAAGUCGAACGGUGAACUCGGAGCUUGCUCUGAGGGAUCAGUGGCGAACGGGUGAGUAACACGUGAGUAACCUGCCCCAGACUCUGGAAUAAGCGCUGGAAACGGCGUCUAAUACCGGAUACGAGACAGAGAGGCAUCUCUACUGUCUGGAAAGUUUUUCGGUCUGGGAUGGACUCGCGGCCUAUCAGCUUGUUGGUGAGGUAACGGCUCACCAAGGCGACGACGGGUAGCCGGCCUGAGAGGGCGAUCGGCCACACUGGGACUGAGACACGGCCCAGACUCCUACGGGAGGCAGCAGUGGGGAAUAUUGCACAAUGGGCGAAAGCCUGAUGCAGCGACGCCGCGUGAGGGAUGACGGCCUUCGGGUUGUAAACCUCUUUCAGCAGGGAAGAAGCGAAAGUGACGGUACCUGCAGAAGAAGCACCGGCUAACUACGUGCCAGCAGCCGCGGUAAAA
This 486-nucleotide ribosomal RNA is filed under the name uncultured bacterium. RNAcentral's name for it is "bacterial SSU rRNA". It matches the Rfam family "Bacterial small subunit ribosomal RNA", at positions 28 to 525 of the family's 1533-position model. The record is from RNAcentral.